AGUCGUAACAAGGUUUCCGUAGGUGAACCUGCGGAAGGAUCAUUAAUAAGGAUACCGGGCAACCGGUAACCCCACCCGUGUCUAUUUACUCUUGUUGCUUUGGCAGGCCGUGGUCUCCACGGCGGGCUCUGCCCGCCAGCGCCUGCCAGAGGACCAAACUCUGAAUUUUAGUGAUGUCUGAGUACUAUAUAAUAGUUAAAACUUUCAACAACGGAUCUCUUGGUUCUGGCAUCGAUGAAGAACGCAGCGAAAUGCGAUAAGUAAUGUGAAUUGCAGAAUUCAGUGAAUCAUCGAAUCUUUGAACGCACAUUGCGCCCGGUGGUAUUCCGCCGGGCAUGCCUGUUCGAGCGUCAUUAUAACCACUCAAGCCUGGCUUGGUAUUGGGGUACGCGAUCCCGUGGCCCCUAAAAUCAGUGGCGGUGCCGGUUGGCUCUAAGCGUAGUAAUACUCCUCGCUACAGACCCUUUCCGGUUCCCUGCCAGAACCCCCCAUUUUUACAGGUUGACCUCGGAUCAGGUAGGGAUACCCGCUGAACUUAAGCAUAUCAAUAAGCGGAGGAAAAGAAACCAACAGGGAUUACCUCAGUAACGGCGAGUGAAGCGGUAACAGCUCAAAUUUGAAAGCUGCCAACAGGCCGCGUUGUAAUUUGUAGAAGAUGCUUUGGGGAUCGGCCUGGUCUAAGUUCCUUGGAACAGGACGUCAUAGAGGGUGGGAAUCCCGUACGUGACCGGUGCCGGCACCCGUGUAAAGCUCUUUCGACGAGUCGAGUUGUUUGGGAGUGCAGCUCAAAAUGGGUGGUAAAUUUCAUCUAAAGCUAAAUAUUGGCCAGAGACCGAUAGCGCACAAGUAGAGUGAUCGAAAGAUAAAAAGCACUUUGGAAAGAGAGUUAAACAGUACGUGAAAUUGUUGAAAGGGAAGCGCUUGCAACCAGACUUGCGGGCGGUCGAUCAUCCGAGGUUCUCCCCGGUGCACUCGAUCGUUCUCAGGCCAGCAUCGGUUUUGGUGGUGGGAUAAAGGCGUCGGGAAUGUGGCUCUUCGGAGUGUUAUAGCCCAGCGUGCAAUGCCGCCUACCGGGACCGAGGACCGCGCUUCGGCUAGGAUGCUGGCGUAAUGGUUGUAAGCGACC
This 1126-nucleotide ribosomal RNA is filed under the name uncultured fungus. RNAcentral describes it as "eukaryotic LSU rRNA". The stretch from base 503 to 1126 matches the Rfam family "Eukaryotic large subunit ribosomal RNA", at positions 1 to 649 of the family's 3401-position model. The record is from RNAcentral. Lineage: Eukaryota; Fungi.